GCUCCCGUAGCCAAGCGGUAAGGCAUUGGUUUUACGCACCGACAUACGCUCGUUCGAUCCGAGCCGGGGGUACCA
Molecule: transfer RNA, 75 nt
Filed under: Bradyrhizobium sp. OAE829
Lineage: Bacteria; Pseudomonadati; Pseudomonadota; Alphaproteobacteria; Hyphomicrobiales; Nitrobacteraceae
Description: tRNA-Val
Rfam family: tRNA
About the family: Transfer RNA (tRNA) molecules are approximately 80 nucleotides in length. Their secondary structure includes four short double-helical elements and three loops (D, anti-codon, and T loops). Further hydrogen bonds mediate the characteristic L-shaped molecular structure. tRNAs have two regions of fundamental functional importance: the anti-codon, which is responsible for specific mRNA codon recognition, and the 3' end, to which the tRNAs corresponding amino acid is attached (by aminoacyl-tRNA synthetases). tRNAs cope with the degeneracy of the genetic code in two manners: having more than one tRNA (with a specific anti-codon) for a particular amino acid; and 'wobble' base-pairing, i.e. permitting non-standard base-pairing at the 3rd anti-codon position.
Source: RNAcentral